This 77-nucleotide transfer RNA is filed under the name bacterium. RNAcentral's name for it is "tRNA-Asn". It matches the Rfam family "tRNA". From Rfam's summary of the family: Transfer RNA (tRNA) molecules are approximately 80 nucleotides in length. Their secondary structure includes four short double-helical elements and three loops (D, anti-codon, and T loops). The record is from RNAcentral.
UCCUUCCUGGCUCAGCUGGUUAGAGCAUUCGGCUGUUAACCGAAAGGUCGCAGGUUCGAGUCCUGCGGAAGGAGCGA